UACGGAGGGGGCUAGCGUUGUUCGGAAUUACUGGGCGUAAAGCGCACGUAGGCGGCUUUUCAAGUCAGAGGUGAAAGCCCGGGGCUCAACUCCGGAAUUGCCUUCGAUACUGUCGGUCUCGAGUCCGGGAGAGGUGAGUGGAAUUCCUAGUGUAGAGGUGAAAUUCGUAGAUAUUAGGAAGAACACCAGUGGCGAAGGCGGCUCACUGGCCCGGUACUGACGCUCAGGUGCGAAAGCGUGGGGAGCAAACAGG
This 253-nucleotide ribosomal RNA is filed under the name uncultured bacterium. RNAcentral's name for it is "partial 16S ribosomal RNA". It matches the Rfam family "Bacterial small subunit ribosomal RNA", at positions 524 to 776 of the family's 1533-position model. The record is from RNAcentral.